UGGGGAUUCAGCAGCCUCCCCGCUUCAAGACGCCUUGCGUCCAAGGACUGC
Molecule: non-coding RNA, 51 nt
Organism: Ricinus communis (castor bean)
Lineage: Eukaryota; Viridiplantae; Streptophyta; Magnoliopsida; Malpighiales; Euphorbiaceae
Source: Rfam